UCUCUCCCGCCUAAUAAUGAUCUCCUUUAGAAUCAACAUCUCUUCUUCAUCAUAUGCAGACUUCUCUUCAACAAUAUUUCGGUACUGCCGAGCUUCCAUCUCAAUCUCUGCCUUCUCCUUCUGGAGACGCAGUAUCAUUGCCAUGGCUUCAUCAGCAGCCGUAGCAGCAGCAUUCCUCUCUUUCUCCAAUUCAAGAGAGAGAACCGCAUGAGUAGACUGCUCUUUUUUAAGUGCCCGCUGCAAAUUUUUUAUAACACUAGUGACAUUUCCCUCGGAUCCACCAACGUCUUUGGCACUAGCUGAUAUAUCCUUCUCCAUAGAAUUACAUUCAUUAGCAGAAGCAGCUCCUUCAACCAAUCCAAGGCAUUCAUCUGAAAUAAUAAUACACAACCAACUACGACCUGUCAUGGCAUUUAUAUCAACUAAUGCUUGAAUUUUUGACAUAACACAUUUAAACUGUGCCGUAUGGCCUUCUUAUUCCAAACAUGUAGACAAAAUCACUGGAAUUUAUCGGCUUUUGUCAUGGAAAUUCUGCUAUGACCGUAUAUGGAAGUUGAGAAAAAAAAAUAAAUACAUGUUUAAAUACCCACCAAAAAGGUAACGACCAUCUCCGUUUUCUUCAGACAUCGGCCCUUGGCCGUUGAUGCUGAAGGGCGUGCAGAGAGUGCCCUCCCGUUGCCAACCCAAUUGCAGAGGCGGAGAAGGGGACGCAGCGGACAGGGACUUCCCUCGACAACUGAGAGGAGGUCUCCGGCGGCGCCGCCGGUGGAGGACGGACGGUGGCCUCUUCCCGAGGAGAACCCCUUUACCCUUCACAUCCAGGAAGGCUCUUCUCGGAGAGGCCACCGACUCCAGUCCACUCACCGGCGUAGGGCUCACCAGGCUCAAAUCCUUGGAGCUGCGAG
RNAcentral lists this long non-coding RNA (905 nucleotides) under Elaeis guineensis (African oil palm). Its description in RNAcentral is "long non-coding RNA (EGUI_LNC033439)". Lineage: Eukaryota; Viridiplantae; Streptophyta; Magnoliopsida; Arecales; Arecaceae. The record is from RNAcentral.